Exidia glandulosa HHB12029 is the source of this 116-nucleotide ribosomal RNA. NCBI's taxonomy places the organism in Eukaryota, Fungi, Basidiomycota, Agaricomycetes, Auriculariales, Exidiaceae. The record is from Rfam.
UCCUGUGAAACAAGGAUCCUCAAAGCACUGCAUCCCGUCUGAUCUGCAAAGUUAACCAGACUUCGCUAAGUUAGUACCAUGGUGCGACCAUGGAGGAAUCCUGGGUGCUGUGGUUU